CAGUAGCCGCGGUAAUACGUAGGGUGCAAGCGUUAAUCGGAAUUACUGGGCGUAAAGCGUGCGCAGGCGGUUUGUUAAGACAGAUGUGAAAUCCCCGGGCUUAACCUGGGAACUGCAUUUGUGACUGGCAAGCUAGAGUCUGGCAGAGGGGGGUGGAAUUCCGCGUGUAGCAGUGAAAUGCGUAGAUAUGCGGAGGAACACCGAUGGCGAAGGCAGCCCCCCUGGACAAAGACUGACGCUCAGGUGCGAAAGCGUGGGGAGCAAACAGGAUUAGAGACCCCUGUAGUCCCUGUCUCUUAUA
Molecule: ribosomal RNA, 301 nt
Filed under: uncultured bacterium
Lineage: Bacteria
Description: partial 16S ribosomal RNA
Rfam family: Bacterial small subunit ribosomal RNA
Source: RNAcentral